This 382-nucleotide ribosomal RNA is filed under the name uncultured eukaryote. RNAcentral describes it as "partial 18S ribosomal RNA". It matches the Rfam family "Eukaryotic small subunit ribosomal RNA", at positions 592 to 976 of the family's 1831-position model. The record is from RNAcentral.
UGUAAGCGUAUACCAAAGUUGUUGCAGUUAAAACGCUCGUAGUCGGAAUUUGGCAGUUCCGGAUGUGUGCACGUCGUGUGCGCACUUCGCGGGGAUUGCUUUUGUGGUCUUGCGUAGGAUGAGGCACUUUUAUUAGUGAACGUCCUCACGCAACCACUUUUUACUGUGAGAAGAUCAGAGUGCUCAAAGCAGGCAUUUGCCGUGAAUGUAUUAGCAUGGAAUAAUAGAAUAGGACUCGGUUCUAUUUUGUUGGUUUGUUGGGACUGAGUAAUGAUUAAGAGGGACAGUUGGGGGCAUUUGUAUUUCGGCGCUAGAGGUGAAAUUCUUAGAUUGCCGAAAGACAAACUGCUGCGAAAGCGUCUGCCAAGGAUGUUUUCAUUGA